Molecule: ribosomal RNA, 429 nt
Filed under: bacterium
Lineage: Bacteria
Description: partial 16S ribosomal RNA
Rfam family: Bacterial small subunit ribosomal RNA
Source: RNAcentral
UAGGGAAUCUUCCACAAUGGACGCAAGUCUGAUGGAGCAACGCCGCGUGAGUGAAGAAGGUUUUCGGAUCGUAAAGCUCUGUUGUUGGUGAAGAAGGAUAGAGGUAGUAACUGGCCUUUAUUUGACGGUAAUCAACCAGAAAGUCACGGCUAACUACGUGCCAGCAGCCGCGGUAAUACGUAGGUGGCAAGCGUUGUCCGGAUUUAUUGGGCGUAAAGCGAGCGCAGGCGGAAGAAUAAGUCUGAUGUGAAAGCCCUCGGCUUAACCGAGGAACUGCAUCGGAAACUGUUUUUCUUGAGUGCAGAAGAGGAGAGUGGAAUUCCAUGUGUGGCGGUGGAAAGCGUAGAGAUAUGGAAGAACACCAGUGGCGAAGGCGACUCUCUGGUCUGCAACUGACGCUGAGGCUCGAAAGCAUGGGUAGCGAACAGG